Molecule: ribosomal RNA, 440 nt
Filed under: uncultured bacterium
Lineage: Bacteria
Description: partial 16S ribosomal RNA
Rfam family: Bacterial small subunit ribosomal RNA
Source: RNAcentral
CCUACGGGUGGCUGCAGUGGGGAAUAUUGCACAAUGGGGGAAACCCUGAUGCAGCGACGCCGCGUGAGUGAAGAAGUAUUUCGGUAUGUAAAGCUCUAUCAGCAGGGAAGAACAUGACGGUACCUGACUAAGAAGCCCCGGCUAACUACGUGCCAGCAGCCGCGGUAAUACGUAGGGGGCAAGCGUUAUCCGGAUUUACUGGGUGUAAAGGGAGCGUAGACGGUGAUGCAAGUCAGAAGUGAAAGCCCGGGGCUCAACUCCGGGACUGCUUUUGAAACUGCAGAGCUUGAGUGGAGUAGAGGUAGGCGGAAUUCCCGGUGUAGCGGUGAAAUGCGUAGAGAUCGGGAGGAACACCAGUGGCGAAGGCGGCCUACUGGGCUCUAACUGACGCUGAGGCACGAAAGCGUGGGUAGCAAACAGGAUUAGAUACCCUUGUAGUC